GCCUACGGGGGGCAGCAGUGGGGAAUCUUGGACAAUGGGCGCAAGCCUGAUCCAGCCAUGCCGCGUGGGCGAGGAAGGUCUUCGGAUCGUAAAGCCCUUUUCUCGGGGAAGAACCGCCUCUACAGGAAAUGGUAGGGGUCUGACGGUACCCGAGGAAUAAGCAACGGCUAACUCCGUGCCAGCAGCCGCGGUAAUACGGAGGUUGCAAGCGUUGUUCGGAAUGACUGGGCGUAAAGGGAGCGCAGGCGGCUUGUUAAGUCUGGAGUGAAAGCCCGGGGCUCAACCCCGGCGGGUCUUCGGAUACUGGCAAGCUUGAGUACGGAAGAGGAGAGCGGAAUUCCAGGUGUAGCGGUGAAAUGCGUAGAUAUCUGGAGGAACACCGGUGGCGAAAGCGGCUCUCUGGUCCGAUACUGACGCUCAGGCUCGAAAGCGUGGGGAGCAAACGGGAUUAGAUACCCUGGUAGC
RNAcentral lists this ribosomal RNA (465 nucleotides) under uncultured bacterium. RNAcentral's name for it is "bacterial SSU rRNA". It matches the Rfam family "Bacterial small subunit ribosomal RNA", at positions 337 to 794 of the family's 1533-position model. The record is from RNAcentral.